UUCGAAGCUAUUUGAAAUUCU
This 21-nucleotide non-coding RNA is filed under the name Caenorhabditis elegans. Lineage: Eukaryota; Metazoa; Nematoda; Chromadorea; Rhabditida; Rhabditidae. The record is from RNAcentral.